GUCGAGGGGUAUCGGUAGCAAUACUGAGAGACCGGCGCACGGGUGAGUAACGCGUAUGCAACCUGCCCUUUACAGGAGGAUAGCCCGUCGAAAGGCGGAUUAAUACUCCAUAAGAUGGUACUACCGCAUGGUAGAGCCAUAAAAGCUUCGGCGGUAAAGGAUGGGCAUGCGUGACAUUAGCUAGUUGGCGGGGUAACGGCCCACCAAGGCUACGAUGUCUAGGGGUUCUGAGAGGAAGGUCCCCCACACUGGUACUGAGACACGGACCAGACUCCUACGGGAGGCAGCAGUGAGGAAUAUUGGUCAAUGGGCGCGAGCCUGAACCAGCCAUCCCGCGUGCAGGAAGACGGCCCUAUGGGUUGUAAACUGCUUUUGUGCAGGAAGAACGCUCAAUACGUGUAUUGAAGUGACGGUACUGCAUGAAUAAGCACCGGCUAAC
This 439-nucleotide ribosomal RNA is filed under the name uncultured bacterium. RNAcentral's name for it is "bacterial SSU rRNA". It matches the Rfam family "Bacterial small subunit ribosomal RNA", at positions 61 to 501 of the family's 1533-position model. The record is from RNAcentral.